This 253-nucleotide ribosomal RNA is filed under the name uncultured prokaryote. RNAcentral's name for it is "partial 16S ribosomal RNA". It matches the Rfam family "Bacterial small subunit ribosomal RNA", at positions 524 to 776 of the family's 1533-position model. The record is from RNAcentral.
UACAGAGGCCUCGAGCGUUAAUCGGAGUCACUGGGCUUAAAGGGUGCGUAGGCCGGUCCGCAAGUGCCUUGUGAAAUCCCACGGCUCAACCGUGGAAUGGCUCGGCAGACUGCGGGUCUUGAGGUCGGUAGGGGUCGCUGGAACUCUAGGUGGAGCGGUGAAAUGCGUAGAUAUCUAGAGGAACGCCAAAGGUGAAGACAAGCGACUGGGCCGAUUCUGACGCUGAGGCACGAAAGCGUGGGGAGCGAACGGG